GGAUCAAUAUGUUGGUCGUACCAUUGGUACGUACUGGCAUUAUUGAUUCCUACCUUCUGAAGAAUCUUGAUGUCAUUAAUUUGGUGUCUUGGGAAAUCAGGACUGGUUUUACUUUGAAAAAUUAGAGUGUUUAAAGUAGGCUCGCGCUUGAAUACAUUAGCAUGGAAUAAUGAAAUAGGACGUUUGAUUCUAUUUUGUUGGUUUCUAGGAUCGAUGUAAUGA
Molecule: ribosomal RNA, 222 nt
Filed under: uncultured Glomeromycotina
Lineage: Eukaryota; Fungi; Glomeromycota
Description: partial 18S ribosomal RNA
Rfam family: Eukaryotic small subunit ribosomal RNA (bases 107-222)
Source: RNAcentral